GCGCGAAAACUUUACAAUGCUGGCAACAGCGAUAAGGGAACCUCGAGUGCCAGGUUACAAAUCUGGCUGUCGAGAUGCCUAAAAAGCAUUUCAUAGCAAGGGCCGGGCAAGACCGGUGCCAGCCGCCGCGGUAACACCGGCGGCUCGAGUGGUAACCGUUAUUAUUGGGUCUAAAGGGUCUGUAGCCGGUCGGAUAAGUCUCUUGAGAAAUCUGGCAGCUUAACUGUCAGGCUUUCAGGAGAUACUGUCUGGCUCGAGGCCAGGAGAGGUGAGAGGUACUUCAGGGGUAGGGGUGAAAUCUUGUAAUCCUUGAAGGACCACCAGUGGCGAAGGCGUCUCACCAGAACGGACCUGACGGCAGGGGACGAAAGCUAGGGGCACGAACCG
Molecule: ribosomal RNA, 387 nt
Filed under: uncultured bacterium
Lineage: Bacteria
Description: bacterial SSU rRNA
Rfam family: Archaeal small subunit ribosomal RNA
Source: RNAcentral